This is a long non-coding RNA of Canis lupus familiaris (dog), 884 nucleotides long. RefSeq lists it as uncharacterized. Lineage: Eukaryota; Metazoa; Chordata; Mammalia; Carnivora; Canidae. The record is from RefSeq and is a predicted model, not a curated record. The transcript has 2 exons.
UGAUCCUGGGAGCCGGGCUCGGCGUUGAGGCUCCCUUGCCACUGCGCAGGCGCGGGGUCGUCUUGCAGGCGUUCCCUUGCGGUUGAGAAACACGCCCUGGCAUCCUGGCCUUAAAGCUCCUCGGGAGUGCCUUGUGAAUCCGGAUACCCUUCUUCGCAGCCCAACGACCGGGGCAGGAGUUAUCCUUGGAAUGACACGUUCAUAAUUGUAAGAUAAGGAAAUUGAGAUUCUGAGAGGUGACAUGACUAGCCCAACAAGUAUUACAACUUCGGUGCCGGCUGUCAGUUCGCUCUCUCAUCUGCUGAUUCAGAGAUCUGUGUCUUCACGUCGCUGUUCCCUCUCCACCAGGGUCCCACCCACCUUUCUUGGCCUGGUUGUCCGUGACUCAUUCAACACUCACACAACAUCUACAGUGCUUUCUGAAACACCACGUUGGCCUCCACAGCAACCUCUGGAUCAGUCUCUCUUAGCAAGGGCCUAGUCUCAGGCAGCUUUGUGGUGGUGGUUGUCGUUGUUUAGAUUUGACUUUUAUGUCAUCUCUUCAUCUCUGUCACCAGUAUGGGGCUGGAACUGACAACGCCAAAAUCAGGAGUUGCACUCUACCAACUGAGCCAGCCAGGCACCCCAAGAAGCUUUGUAUUCUCAGAGAUCAGCACUUUGCUGAGCACCAAGGAGGCACUUGGUCUAUUGACUUAUUAUUGAUUAUUGGUCCAGCAUGAUACCACUGAUUAGGGUUUUAUUUAGCACCUACUAUGCUGAGUAUAAAUAGCACAACGAAAGUAAAUAGGAAACACACAACAAUACCUUAAUAGAAAAAUGAGUAAUAAUAACUCACAAUAAUGAGUGGAUAAUAACUCACAAUAAACUUUUUUUUUUAAAUCACA